Molecule: small nuclear RNA, 287 nt
Filed under: Saimiri boliviensis boliviensis (Bolivian squirrel monkey)
Lineage: Eukaryota; Metazoa; Chordata; Mammalia; Primates; Cebidae
Description: 7SK RNA (ENSSBOG00000010053.1)
Rfam family: 7SK RNA
About the family: 7SK was discovered as an abundant small nuclear RNA in the mid-70s but a possible function has only recently been suggested.
Source: RNAcentral
UCAUGUGAGGGUAAUCUGGCUUCAACAUCUGCCACCCACUGAUCACCAGGGUUGAUUCACCUGGCUACACAAGUGUCCCCUUCCUCCACUAUUCCACAUGUAGCCCUCCUCAAGUUGAAAAAUGGGUUGAAGAGGAUGACCUUCCCUGAUAGAAGAGGACCAUUCUUUAAUCAAGGGUGUGCUAGUAGCUCUCUAAGCUCUCAAGGUAAAGGUUUCACCUGCACUGUCAGUUUUAUAGUCAAUCACAGCAAAUAGCAAGAAGCUUAACUUCUGAGAGUUUCUAAGUU